AAAAAUCGAAAACUAACUUGUAUUGCAAAAGGAUAAAUCAGACGAAAUGAAGUGAGUGAAUAAAAGGUCUGAUAUCGUCCCUUAUAUUUAUAGAACAAAAAGGAACUCUUCGAUUAUUGAAGUCAGUUAAAAUAAACUCUUGAUUAUUGUGAAACUCUUCGAUUAUUGAAGUCAGUUACUGAAAAUAACCAAUCAUAUAACAGCCAGUCUUGACGAAAAGAAACUCUUCGGUUACUGAGUUACAUGAUGUCGUUUGGAAGAGACUUUUCGAUUCCUGAGAUAUAUGUUUGAACAAAAAAAAAAAUCACCCAUUACUCGUAGGAGAGUCGAACCCGGGUCGAGCAAAUGUUUCGGUGUCAUAGGUUUCGAGGUUUAGCCGCUAGGCUGAGGAGAAUCAUCUGUUAGUUGCUUCCACAUAAUUGUAUUUAGCCAUACAAUUGAUAGUAUAAUACAUUGGAAAGAUCUUUGAUAGUUCAGGAUGGGCUUCCGAUUGCAACAAAUGUGAUUCCUGAGAUAUAUGUUUGAACAAAAAAAAAAAAUCACCCAUUACUCGUAGGAGAGUCGAACCCGGGUCGAGCAAAUGUUUCGGUGUCAUAGGUUUCGAGGUUUAGCCGCUAGGCUGAGGAGAAUCAUCUGUUAGUUGCUUCCACAUAAUUGUAUUUAGCCAUACAAUUGAUAGUAUAAUACAUUGGAAAGAUCUUUGAUAGUUCAGGAUGGGCUUCCGAUUGCAACAAAUGUGAUUCCUGAGAUAUAUGUUUGAACAAAAAAAAAAAAAUCACCCAUUACUCGUAGGAGAGUCGAACCCGGGUCGAGCAAAUGUUUCGGUGUCAUAGGUUUCGAGGUUUAGCCGCUAGGCUGAGGAGAAUCAUCUGUUAGUUGCUUCCACAUAAUUGUAUUUAGCCAUACAAUUGAACAAAAAAAAAAAUCACCCAUUACUCGUAGGAGAGUCGAACCCGGGUCGAGCAAAUGUUUCGGUGUCAUAGGUUUCGAGGUUUAGCCGCUAGGCUGAGGAGAAUCAUCUGUUAGUUGCUUCCACAUAAUUGUAUUUAGCCAUACAAUUGAUAGUAUAAUACAUUGUAUAUUACAAAAGUUGUAUAUUACAAAAGUUGGAUAGGAUUCCAGAAUAGUUGAAUAUUACUGUGUUUUUUUCUAGCAAAGAAGUUUAAACUAAAAAUUGAAAUGAGAUCAAAAGAUAAUGUUGUAUAUUACAAAAGUUGUAAGAAAUCAUACUUAUUCAGGAUAGGGUUCCAAAAGAAAAAAUGUAUAUGGUCUUGUGCAUAUCAUGUAACCAUCAAAUAGC
RNAcentral lists this long non-coding RNA (1300 nucleotides) under Brassica rapa (field mustard). RNAcentral describes it as "long non-coding RNA (BRAP_LNC003536)". The record is from RNAcentral. Lineage: Eukaryota; Viridiplantae; Streptophyta; Magnoliopsida; Brassicales; Brassicaceae.